Molecule: ribosomal RNA, 236 nt
Filed under: uncultured bacterium
Lineage: Bacteria
Description: partial 16S ribosomal RNA
Rfam family: Bacterial small subunit ribosomal RNA
Source: RNAcentral
CGGCGAACGGGUGAGUAACACGUGGGCAACCUGCCCUCAGCUCUGGGACAACUCCGGGAAACCGGGGCUAAUACCGGAUACGACAUCGGAUCGCAUGGUCUGGUGUGGAAAGUUUUUCGGCUGGGGAUGGGCCCGCGGCCUAUCAGCUUGUUGGUGGGGUGAUGGCCUACCAAGGCGACGACGGGUAGCCGGCCUGAGAGGGCGACCGGCCACACUGGGACUGAGACACGGCCCAG